UACGGAGGAUCCAAGCGUUGUCCGGAUUUAUUGGGUUUAAAGGGUGCGUAGGCGGACUUUUAAGUCAGAGGUGAAAGCCGGUAGCUUAACUAUCGAAUUGCCUUUGAAACUGAAAGUCUUGAAUUUUGUUGAGGUAGGCGGAAUGUAUCAUGUAGCGGUGAAAUGCAUAGAUAUGAUACAGAACACCGAUUGCGAAGGCAGCUUACUAAGCAAAUAUUGACGCUGAGGCACGAAAGCGUGGGGAUCAAACAGG
Molecule: ribosomal RNA, 253 nt
Filed under: uncultured bacterium
Lineage: Bacteria
Description: partial 16S ribosomal RNA
Rfam family: Bacterial small subunit ribosomal RNA
Source: RNAcentral